This 719-nucleotide long non-coding RNA is filed under the name Sus scrofa (pig). Its description in RNAcentral is "lncRNA (ENSSSCG00070010583.1)". Lineage: Eukaryota; Metazoa; Chordata; Mammalia; Artiodactyla; Suidae. The record is from RNAcentral.
UCUGACUGGGUCUCCCCUUCUUUCUUUUCCAGGGGUGCACCAACUGUGUUCCGUGUGGUCACAUGACCUGGGUCAGUCUCACGCCAGCCGUUCCCUGGAAGUCACCCGGGGUAGACCGAGUAUCCCCUUUGCACGUGGGGCUGUGCCGACGGAGGCCUUCUUCAGCACGAGUCCUCAGUUGACUGAUGAAUACAAAACGCCUCUGGGAACAAAAGGCAUUCAAGAUUCGCUGAAGACAAGACAACCUACUUUGGUUUCUGUGUCUGGUACCGGGGUAUCAGCGGAGAUAAAGCCCUGAGUGACAGGGAAGCGAAAUACAGAAUAACACCCUCCAUUGUUCUCCCAUUGACGGUACGUAUAAUGGGAAAGUUAGCGAGUCACCGUAAUGUCAUGGACCGCUGUGAACUUGGGAGAACUCAAGGAUCAGAAAGUAACAUGAAACAAGGAGGGAAAGCAAGAUAAUAUUGGGUUACUGAACAUUCUCAAAUUGUACUGAAACGCAUCCCAUCCCUUUGGAGGGGGCAUGUUUUUGACCAGGAAGACAAUGGGCAGAAACUGGCGGCUGUAACGAUAUCACCAUUUUCUUUUGCUACGGGCCGUAAUGUGAACUCCUUAGAAGACACCUUCUUUCACCACAGCUUUGUUGUUGGGGCUAUUGAGGAGCCCAGAGACCAAAGUCGCUGCCUUGUUCCGGGAUCAUCUAAAACCAAGGAGGCUGG